This 672-nucleotide ribosomal RNA is filed under the name Aspergillus terreus. Its description in RNAcentral is "SSU rRNA". It matches the Rfam family "Eukaryotic small subunit ribosomal RNA", at positions 98 to 778 of the family's 1831-position model. Lineage: Eukaryota; Fungi; Ascomycota; Eurotiomycetes; Eurotiales; Aspergillaceae. The record is from RNAcentral.
UCAUUAAAUCAGUUAUCGUUUAUUUGAUAGUACCUUACUACAUGGAUACCUGUGGUAAUUCUAGAGCUAAUACAUGCUAAAAACCCCGACUUCGGAAGGGGUGUAUUUAUUAGAUAAAAAACCAAUGCCCUUCGGGGCUCCUUGGUGAUUCAUAAUAACUUAACGAAUCGCAUGGCCUUGCGCCGGCGAUGGUUCAUUCAAAUUUCUGCCCUAUCAACUUUCGAUGGUAGGAUAGUGGCCUACCAUGGUGGCAACGGGUAACGGGGAAUUAGGGUUCGAUUCCGGAGAGGGAGCCUGAGAAACGGCUACCACAUCCAAGGAAGGCAGCAGGCGCGCAAAUUACCCAAUCCCGACACGGGGAGGUAGUGACAAUAAAUACUGAUACGGGGCUCUUUCGGGUCUCGUAAUUGGAAUGAGUACAAUCUAAAUCCCUUAACGAGGAACAAUUGGAGGGCAAGUCUGGUGCCAGCAGCCGCGGUAAUUCCAGCUCCAAUAGCGUAUAUUAAAGUUGUUGCAGUUAAAAAGCUCGUAGUUGAACCUUGGGUCUGGCUGGCCGGUCCGCCUCACCGCGAGUACUGGUCCGGCUGGACCUUUCCUUCUGGGGAAUCCCAUGGCCUUCACUGGCUGUGGGGGGAACCAGGACUUUUACUGUGAAAAAAUUAGAGUGUUCAA